Long non-coding RNA from Equus caballus (horse), 7130 nucleotides. Lineage: Eukaryota; Metazoa; Chordata; Mammalia; Perissodactyla; Equidae. The record is from Ensembl.
UCCACAAGUGGAGGGAUAGACAGUCCUCACUUUAAGGAUGAUAGGCUUUGAUUUCUGUGUUCUAAUGCGAGGAGGUAGAGGGUACAAGGACUUCAGACUCUGGCCAACCCUCCAUUCAGUGCAGUGGAGCAAGCUCUGCUGGAAUAUUCCUGAGACCACAAAACCAAGUUCCCCGGAGUGGAGCCUUGCUAGGGGUACCUUCGACUUCAGAAAUGAUGUCAGGCUCCUCUGCAGAACCUAGGGACUCUCCUCCUGUCCUGUGGGGCCCAGGAAUGGUCAAAAGUGGGCCUGGAAAUACUCUGCUCUAAGUCAAGUGCUCCUCUGGCUUUCUGCCCAGAGCUCUUCUCAGUGGAUCACUGGGAUCAAAGAGAUCAACUAGCCUUUGCAAAGGGGCGUGCAUGGGAACUCCUCACCAGAGGGUCAGCUCUUCCCUGAGACUACCACCUCCUAAAGAGGAUAAAUCCCUCCUUAAAGGGGUCCCUGCACUUCUCUAAUGGAUGGAAUUGUCUGUCUCCUUAGGGUAUCCCAGAUUUCUGAAUGGUGUUCCUGUGUACCAAAGCUUUCAUCCUGGUUAAUCUGAAAGAAGGGUCCUCUGAGUUCCAGUCACUUCUUGCAGUGAUGUCCUGUCCUUCAUCAGGAAGUCUGCUGGCCUACGAGCUGACUAGCUGUCGCAGGGGUCGGCUCAUGUUGUGCCCUUCUCUUACCAGCCUGCAUACUAUAUGCGUUGAAUCCUGGAAUCUAGAUACGCUUUCUCCCCUUUAGGGUCCUCACUGAAGAUGGAAUCUAUGUUGGAUGACUACUCACAGGUGUGGGCAGGGCUGAGGGAGCCAACGAAAGAUGGCAUUCCUCUGCUAGAAUCCCAGGAAUUCAUUACAGCACUCCCUCUCGCAGAACUGAAAGGGCAGAGGACAUAACCAGUGCUCAUGGGUCCUGAUCGUGGGCUGUAGCCAAGGAAGCUGAUGUGCCAAAGGGAUGCAGCCACUGGCUGGAGGAAGAAGACUAAAUACCCCCACCUCUGUCCUCUGUCACCUGAGGGUAACUGUCAUGGAUUACAUCAACCGGUCCUUUUGCGCUCUACCUUCCGGGUGACUACAAACAGCUGAUCCUCUGAGAGCGUGGAACAGGGUGGAGAAUGUUCGCAGUGGACUAUAGAGGCAAAGCAAAUCAGCACACCCACUCGUAUCCGACCAUCAGCCUACCUCUCGGCCUAUGUUCCACUUUAAUGAGGAUUGACAGUUUCUGGUACCUAGAAUGAUGUGUACGGUCCUGUCCACCACUGGGGCCCUCUGCCCUGGGGUGGCUCCUUCAUAUUUGGAGCCUUUUCAAUGUUUGUUGUGGUUCUCCUGCCUGACCUAUUCCUAGGAGACUCUCUCCAUGAUGCUCCCAGUACAGCUGUCCUUUCUGAUCUUGCCACUAUUGCUGCCGUCAUAGGGAUCCUCACUCUGCCAUUCAUGCUUCUCUCAGGUUCUCAUUGAUGCUGCUCUUGCUGCUGCCAUUGCCGUCAAUUCCACACCUGUCAUCCCUGCCAACAAUGGAGAGUGAAAAUGUUAAGUGCGUAGUAAGUUUUGCAGUGAGAAUAUUCCUGGUUCUUAAUUUUCAUCGGAACGUAGUUCUUUGGCUGUGGUUCUCUGUGCAAUGAAAGCCAUAUGCAAGAGGGUGAAACUCAUCCAUGGCUCAAAAGGCUGGCGAGGAUGUGAGGACCUGGACUCUCAACCCUGGAGCGGCCUCUUCAUGAACUGUAACAGGAAUUAUCUAGCAUCUUGGAAAUGCUCGCAAUCCCUGUAGCACGGUCUAGUCUGGGUGAGGCAGAUUUCGGUGCUGUCGACAUCCCCUGGGGUCUCUUGGCCAUUUUCACACCCACUGGCUCCUGAAGCACUUUCCUACCAGCCAGCACCUGUGUCUUACCACUGACAGACAGACCUCAGUCUACUUUGUGUGCAUGCGUGGGAAACUAGAAAUGCCUUAACCCAGGACUGGCUGCAGGGGUAUAUAUACUCCAGCUUCCUUGCCACCAUGAAGCCGACUUCAGUGGUGAUUGAUGCAAUCUCCAGAACUGGCCUGUAGAAUUGAGCCAGCUGCCCUCUGGGACCGGGCUUGAUCCAAAGGCCUCACAUGCUUUCUUGCCUUCCUGCUCCCACUUCCUUGCUUCCCUAUUUGGUGAAUCCUGAGACCCCUUGCAAAUAACUUUCACCCAAAUCUCACAGCAAACCCCAAGACAGCAGGCCACCCAGGCUGGCCACGUGGUCAUCUGGCUUGGUGUCCUGCACUGUGGAAAUUAACUCGGGUAGAUGCAACUAUGAAACUCAGUUUUCUGAAUUUUAAAAUGGGCUUAGCGCUCUCAAGAAAGAGGCAGUGAGGUGGGAUUCAAACCUGGAUUUAUCUAGAUCCAUAGUUAAGAGCAUUUACGUGGUAUCAAACAGCAUGUGUGACGGGGUUGAGAUGAAAAGGGAAGGGAGGACAGUGAGAAGAUGGCAGAAUUGCUGACUAGAAUGUCCAAUAAGCCUCAUUCCAAAUGGCCCCGGGCUGUAAUCCGCUCUGGGUCCUUAUGCUCAGCUCAUCUCCCAUCAGGCAGUGAAAAACCUAUAAAAUAAGUCAAAUGAACCAGGUGCGAUUUUCUGCAUGUAGGAAGAAAGAUCUUUAAAAGGAACACCAAUCUCCACAGGUAAGGAUGAUGUGCGUAAUUACAACUGGACACGAGUGCAUUCGCUCUGAAAAUUCUUAGAGCUCUAUACUUAUGAUUUGUGCACUUUUCUGUACAUAUGUGAUAAAAAAUUUAUGGUAAAGAAAAAAAUGUGGCUAUGUAAAUAUUCUGACUUAGUGGGAGUCCUGCCCACAAUCCUAUUAUCCUCCUCUUGCUCGAAUAGGAUCCAGGACUCAUCACGAUCGUGGAGAGGGAGUCAGACCUCACAUGCCUGCUCCUCAUGCCACUGCCCCAGGUUUUCCAGCCGCUUUUCCCUCUUCCCAGCACAGCUGACUUAGGGCAGAAAUGAGGGGCUGCAGAGGAGAAUGUCGGUUCCUGCCCUAAAUAAGUAGCUUGGCUUCUGUCCUUGCCCAUCUACUUGGCAAACUCCCCCAACUUCUAAAUCUCUUCCCUGAAGAACUCCGUGGUCCCCCAGCUGAGGAGGGGAGGCUGUCAUUUCUCUGAAACCACCUUCCUCCCAGGCACCCAGAUGCGGAGGCUGAGAACUGAGCCAGGCGUCUGUUAGUAAGGCCGUAAAUCAGGAGGCCCCACACGGGGUCAGGCCUGGUCAGAUUGCUGAUGGCAUUAGGGUAACGAAUGGGGAGUGGGGUGUUUAUGUUAGUCUUGGCUCUCGAGUUGAAGGAAGAAUGCCGGGAUUUAGCUUCGCGAUAAAGUCAGCACCAACACAUCCUGGGUCAGCAAUUAUGUUUUAAAGAUCCCUUGGGAGGAGCUGGGGUGGAACCUCCCUGGGGAAGUGUGGCCACCUGAGCAGGCUGCCCUGACGUGGGAGUUGAAUGAGGCGUGACACUGAUGGAGGGAGGCUGGGCUGAACGGGAGACUAGAGCUAAGACUGGGCAUAAGGCUGUUGUUGGUGUUGUACUGGAAAUGCGUGCACACAGACUUGUGUGCUGUGCCCCCAGCACUCUGCUUGUCUCCUUGGAGAGUGGAUCGGUUUGUGUUAGUAACUGUUUCCUGGAAGACCCGGAAGUUGGGAGUGAGAGCAGCUUAUAGGGAGGGUGGGUGACGCCAUAAAGGAGAGGAAGCAGAAGCAGGAAGGGAGAAUCUGAUUGUGAUGCAGACCUGAGAAGGUCUCAGCAAGCCCGCCGGGGGCUCUAGAGCAGACAGUCCAUUAGAGCAGUGUCACACUGGGCGGAAAUGGCGGGGCCUUAGCACCCCGCUCUACUCAACCGUUAGCUGGGGUUGCCUGGGAAGCCCACGGUGACAGCUGAAUGCUGUGAUGGACCCCCCAAGACGCCACAGCUAUGAGCUGUCCUACGACUAAACAAUCAGUUCUUUCUUGAAGGGGCUGCAAGCAAUGCACCUCCAGGGCUGCUCCAUGGAGACUGGCCUGCCCGCCCCCACUUCCCCUUCCAAGAAUUCAAGUGCUUUGGAGAAUCUGGCUGAUGCAUCCUGAUAAUGCACCCAAUUUAACCUGACGCUUGUAGAAUACGUGGUACCUGUACCUGUUUCAUAAAUAUCUGAGAUCCUAAUGGCAGGCAGGAUCCGAGGGGUGCCUUAACUGCCUACUCAAACCUCCUUUCGCUGCAUCCCCAUUUAAAGCUCUUCUAAAAGCCAAAAGUCAAAGGAUCUGGAGCUAUGUAUUUAAUAAAUUCAAUGUCUCCAAGCGUCUGCUUUGUUGAAGACCCUAAAAGCAUGAGCGAGAAGACGGGAAGGAGCUAACAUAGGUGCCUGCGGUUGAAGUUGCCCUCGAGUGACAAACGCCCAGUGCUUCCAGGCUGGCGCAGAGUGCCAGCUCAGUCCAAAGCUAACCAGGACAGGGAAAGUGCCAGGCAAAGAGGCGGAUGUUUGAGGCAGGCAGCUGACCUGCACUCAGGACAUCAGCAGAGUGGCAGGUUAUUUUCCAAAAGUGAUCACCACACUCUCUCUCAUCCGUUUUUGCCAAAUCCGAUCAAGAGAUGGGAUCCACAUCCUUGGCCCCGGAACUCAGACCCGCCUUUGUGACAGCCUUGGCUGAUAAAACACAGCAGAAACGACCCCGUUUUCCAAGACUAGAUCAUAAAAGGCAAUCUAGCUUCCACCAGGCACUCCUUCUUGGAAACUACAACCAUGCCGUAAGGAAGCCCAAGUGUCCCCGAGGAGAGGCCCACCUGGAAAGGAACCAACAGCCAGCACCAACUCUCCAGGCAUUUGAGUAGGGAGGAAGAGCCACUUCUAAGACGCUCAGUCAAGUUGCCCCAACAGAUGCCACAUGGAGCUGUCUGCCCACCCCCACGCAUGUCCACGCAGAUUGAUGGGCAAAAUCAACGAUGGCUGUUUAAGGCACUCAGUCUGAGCAAAAUAUAUAUGAUAUAAAGAGCAUUCCAGCUCUGAGAUCCCAACUGUGAUGUCUAGGGAAAGAAUACCUCAUUUUAUAGAUGGAUAAAGGUUCACAGAAGUCGCAUGCCUGAGGCCACAAGGCUAGAAGGGAGACAACUAAUCUUCAAGCCCAGAUCUGCCUGACCCUAAACCUUGGUAGUUUACCAUGCUACUGGUUUGAUUAUUGACUGUCUUCAUGAGCUUCCUCGAAACAGUCAGUCUAUCCCACAUUCAGCACAUGGAGAGUACUUAUUAGGCCUCUUGAGUGAGGAUUCCUAGGAUGUACAAGACGCGAAAGAGGUUCUCCCUCCAUGCGAAUUUCACAUCGCCGGGAGGAGGCACCGCCUUCCGCUCAGCCUAAGUUCCAGAUUUAGGGUUGCUGAGAAGACUGCGUGUGCUUCACAAAGUCAGAAGCACUUACUCCUCAUGACAGCUAGGGGAUGGGCAGGAAGUGCUUAGCUUCUAAGCCAUAGUUUUCUCUGCUGUAAAAUGGGGAUAAGGAGCUUGCCCAGGUCUACACAACCUGGAAGGACUAGGGAUUCAAAUCCUGGUCCUGAAUCCAUUGCUCUCCCCACACACCAGAGCUGCCCUCAAAGCCAAGUGGCAGAGACACGCCAAGGAGAGAAAUUUCCUUCCACCCUGGGCCUCAAGCACACCCGGCUCGGGUGGAAGGUGGGAGAAACUGAGCUGCAGUGUUGCCCACUGCACCCUUGGCCAACCCCAUGGGGAGCCCUGGAGCUAGAAUGACCCUUCAGAGGUGUCCUGAGAUGGCCUGGCCAGGCCUUUACACCUCUGCACAGCAUCCCCGAGCCCUGUGAGCAGCACACACGUUUGGCUGUAUCCAAGGACUUUGCCCGAGUAAGUGAAGAGCCUGGAGAGGAGCGAGGGCCAGCUGGUGAAACAUAAGAUGAUGUCAUGUGGUAGGGUCUUGGUGGAGGAGCUUCUUUAGAAAGCAUGCAAUGUCCCAAUGCAUCCCAGUGCAGCAACGACUGGAGUGGAUGUCCCGGGGAGAACAGAGCGACCUUCUCCCAGAGCCCUGGAGAGACAGGGACCUGCGCUGCAGCUGAUGAGGUCCACCUGCCUGUCUCCAGGCCUGAGGGCACCUUAAGCCAUCCCACGCAUGGACCUUGCCAGGCUCCCGGGAGAAGGCCCUUUCAGAGGUCUCGCAUCAGCUUGCCUUGAAGUCUAACACCUUCCUGGGCAGGAUGUGCCUUUAUUGCAAACUCCCCAACUGAUUUUUCUCAGAACCAAGCGCUUUGAUGGUUUUAUUGUCCCUAAAUUCACACCAGGCCCCAAUAACUUGAGGGCAGGUAGAGAAUGCAGAGUUGGGGGAGGGCGCGGGAAGUGAAUGGCCCAGGAUCAAGGCAGGAGAUUGCAACCUAUAAAUCUAUGGGGACCAGGCUCGCCUCUGAAGGGUUCCACGUGUGGGCUGGGGGUGGGUCCUGCAAUCUCCGGCCCAGAAUGCCAGCGCUAAGUGGAUCAAGGUGGUCUUCCACGCUCCAGAGCUCCUGAACACACCUGCUUUUGCUGCGGGGGACAUGGUUGGUCCACGCCACCAACAGCUGCUCUGCCCAGUGAUGACCAAUCCCGGGACCAAGUGUCACUGGAGACUUGAAUUGACCAGGCUUCGUAUUGGGUUCCACGUGUACCAGCUCAUGCUGGGACCAGCUUAGCUGACUUCCUGGCUCAGGGUCUCUCUGAGGGAUCCCAAACGAAGACACGAAUUUGGGUACAAGUUAGCUUUCCCUCCUUCUGUCACAUCUCCCCACUCCAUUAUGGUGUCUGGGAUGACCUCCCAAUUAAAGGGCUGUUAAUAAGGUAAUUACCCUGAGCAACUAGGGUUUCUCCUACUGGGAACCUCUCGAGAGACUCCUUAGAACAAACCUCAGGAUUGUUUUCUGUUGAGGGGGGUAGUUGGGGCUAUCAAACCACCAAGCCCUGCCUCAUUGGCAGUGAGGGUCACUCUGGGUGUAACUUCUCAGCACUUCUGGAUUGUAUGAUUAGAGCAUGCUCCUGUGGCCAGAGAAGUCCACGGGCAGAGAGGUGCAGAUGCCUUUGAGGUGGAGGGCCAUAGCAUGAAGGCCAUGUGUCAGGAGCCGUCCACUGAAGAUACUGGGGUACUUCCGGGUGGGCC